UACGUAGGGUGCGAGCGUUAAUCGGAAUUACUGGGCGUAAAGCGUGCGCAGGCGGUUCGUUAAGUCUGAUGUGAAAGCCCCGGGCUCAACCUGGGAAUGGCAUUGGAAACUGGCGGGCUCGAGUAUGGCAGAGGGGGGUGGAACUCCACGUGUAGCAGUGAAAUGCGUAGAGAUGUGGAAGAACACCGAUGGCGAAGGCAGCCCCCUGGGUCAAUACUGACGCUCAGGCACGAAAGCGUGGGGAGCAAACAGG
This 253-nucleotide ribosomal RNA is filed under the name uncultured bacterium. RNAcentral's name for it is "partial 16S ribosomal RNA". It matches the Rfam family "Bacterial small subunit ribosomal RNA", at positions 524 to 776 of the family's 1533-position model. The record is from RNAcentral.